Molecule: unclassified non-coding RNA, 375 nt
Filed under: Hevea brasiliensis (rubber tree)
Lineage: Eukaryota; Viridiplantae; Streptophyta; Magnoliopsida; Malpighiales; Euphorbiaceae
Source: RNAcentral
AAGUUUCUUUGCUAGUGAAUUGAAUUCGUAUUAUUUUCUCCUUGUCAUUUUUUUGUUGUCCUACAUUUAAAUUAAUUGUUCAUUUGUAUGAUAGGACUACAUUGUGUCCUUAGAGAUGCCACUUAUGAUUUCCUAUAGAGAAGUUGCAUUAAAGGAAAUUGGUAAAGUGAUAUUCUGACUUUUAGGAAAUCCUUUGUGUUGUAUUUAUAUUGUGAUAGAAUCAUGUAGAUAUUGCACUUUAUUUUUGACGCACUGUAAAGCUCAAAUAGAACUCUCCACACAAUACACAAGUAUUUAGAGAAAACUCUAUAGAAUUUUAUUAAUUAAAUCUUAGAACUAAUAGAAAAAUAAAUCUACUUUUUAGGAAGUUUAGAU